Molecule: long non-coding RNA, 374 nt
Organism: Symphalangus syndactylus (siamang)
Lineage: Eukaryota; Metazoa; Chordata; Mammalia; Primates; Hylobatidae
Source: RefSeq, a predicted model, not a curated record
CGACACAAGACCAUCAAACAAUUAAAUGUAUUCAAAAGUUCCUGUAGCUUGCCAGUUUUUACAGCAGCAUCGGAAUGACAGAAGAUCUGUAUUGGGUUCUGAGUUGGAUAGUUACUGCCUCUUCACCUCACUUGUCUUCACUAUCAACUUCCAUAACCAGUGAAAAAUAAUAAAAUAAUGGCAAUCAACCCUCUUCUGCUCUUGGCAUCUCAGCUUUUCCCCAGCCUUGACUCUCCACCUCAACUGGAUGUGUUGGAAACUGAAUCCUCAAUACAACAGUAUUGGGAGGUGGGACCUAAAGAGAGCUGACUUGGUUUAUGAGUGGUCUGCCCUCCUGAAUGGAUUCAUGUGGAUUCAUGCUGUUAUCCAGGAAG